CGUCAUACGAAGAAUUGGUAUGUUAAGUUUUACCAGUUCAUCGUCUGACGUUUA
Molecule: microRNA precursor, 54 nt
Filed under: Heliconius melpomene (postman butterfly)
Lineage: Eukaryota; Metazoa; Arthropoda; Insecta; Lepidoptera; Nymphalidae
Description: Hme-Mir-6301-P2_pre stem-loop
Source: RNAcentral